Non-coding RNA from Podarcis lilfordi (Lilford's wall lizard), 114 nucleotides. Lineage: Eukaryota; Metazoa; Chordata; Lepidosauria; Squamata; Lacertidae. The record is from the annotation of a GenBank genome assembly.
ACCUUAGAGACCAACUAAGUUUGUUAUUGGUAUGAGCUUUCGUGUGCAUGCACAUUUCUUCAGAUAUGCACACAAAAGCUCAUACCAAUAACAAACUUAGUUGGUCUCUAAGGU